RNAcentral lists this ribosomal RNA (415 nucleotides) under uncultured fungus. RNAcentral describes it as "SSU rRNA". It matches the Rfam family "Eukaryotic small subunit ribosomal RNA", at positions 253 to 667 of the family's 1831-position model. Lineage: Eukaryota; Fungi. The record is from RNAcentral.
AUAAUAACUUAACGAAUCGCAUGGCCUUGGCGCCGGCGAUGGUUCAUUCAAAUUUCUGCCCUAUCAACUUUCGAUUGUAGAGUAGUGGUCUACAAUGGUUCCAACGGGUAACGGGGAAUUAGGGUUCUAUUCCGGAGAGGGAGCCUGAGAAACGGUACCACAUCCAAGGAAGGCAGCAGGCGCGCAAAUUACCCAAUCCCGACACGGGGAGGUAGUGACAAUAAAUACUGAUACAGGGCUCUUUUGGGUCUUGUAAUUGGAAUGAGUACAAUUUAAAUCCCUUAACGAGGAACAAUUGGAGGGCAAGUCUGGUGCCAGCAGCCGCGGUAAUUCCAGCUCCAAUAGCGUAUAUUAAAGUUGUUGCAGUUAAAAAGCUCGUAGUUGAACCUUGGGCCUGGCUGGCCGGUCCGCUCAC